RNAcentral lists this ribosomal RNA (895 nucleotides) under Pentatrichomonas hominis. RNAcentral describes it as "SSU rRNA". It matches the Rfam family "Eukaryotic small subunit ribosomal RNA", at positions 425 to 1472 of the family's 1831-position model. The record is from RNAcentral. Lineage: Eukaryota; Parabasalia; Trichomonadida; Trichomonadidae.
GCAGCAGGCGCGAAACUUACCCACUCGAGACUUUCGGAGGAGGUAAUGACCAGUUUCAUGUGAAGCUUAUGCUUCUGUGAAUAGGAUCACACUUUUCCAGUGUGGUGAAACCUAGCAGAGGGCCAGUCUAGUGCCAGCAGCUGCGGUAAUUCCAGCUCUGCGAGUUUGCUCCCAUAUUGUUGCAGUUAAAACGCCCGUAGUCGGAAUUGGACAGCAGUGUCCCUACGUUUCAACGUUCACUGUGAACAAAUCAGGACGCUUAGAGUAUGGUAACAAGAAUGACUCAGCGCAGUAUGAAGUCUUUGUUUCUUUCGGGAAACAAGCUCAAUGAGAGCCAUCGGGGGUGGAUCUAUUUCAUGGCGAGUGGUGGAAUACUUCGACCCAUGAGAGAGACACGGAGGCGAAGGCGUCCACCUAGAGGGUUUCUGUCGAUCAAGGGCGAGAGUAGGAGUAUCCAACCGGAUUAGAGACCCGGGUAGUUCCUACUGUAAACGAUGCCGACAGAGGUUUGUCAUUUUAUAAUGGCAGAACUUUUAGAGAAAUCAUAGUUCUUGGGCUCUGGGGGAACUACGACCGCAAGGCUGAAACUUGAAGGAAUUGACGGAAGGGCACACCCGGGGUGGAGCCUGUGGCUUAAUUUGAAUCAACACGGGGAAACUUACCAGGACCAGAUGUUUUUUAUGACUGACAGGCUUCGGGUCUUUCAGGAUAUUGCUUUUGGUGGCGCAUGGCCGUUGGUGGUGCGUGGGUUGACCUGUCUAGCGUUGAUUCAGCUAACGAGCGAGAUUAUCGCCAAUUAUAUACCUCGCAUUGGCUUCAGUGUUGAGGUUCUAAUUGGGACUCCCUGCGAUUUUAGCAGGCGGAAGAGGGUAGCAAUAACAGGUCCGUGAUGUCC